AAUUAAUUGAUAUUUUUUUUAAAAAAUCAAUCAUUUCGUUGAUGUUGUGAAACAAAAAAAAAAAAAUCAAUCAUCCUCUCGCAUGAAAUAUACAAUCCGAACCCGAGAGAGAAGGUGGCAAUCAGAACCAAAAAAAAUAAACCCUUAUCUCCUACCGUGACAAAAUUCAUCGCUAAGGUUCACCAAUCAGACGGCUCCAAUAGCCAUUCCCAACGUCUGCCGUCUUUUUCCCGUUUGGUUCACGAGAAUAACGGCCAGGAUGUCGAGCGAGAUGCUCCGUACCGGGACCAGCCCAGCCUGCAGCCGCACCGCGCGACACGCGUCCCCUAACCCCGUCCGAAAUAUCCCACCGGUCUCCGUUCCGCUCACCACUCGGUGAUCCCACGUCCCUCCACGUGUCCCCCUUCCAGAACUCCUCUUUG
RNAcentral lists this long non-coding RNA (422 nucleotides) under Elaeis guineensis (African oil palm). RNAcentral's name for it is "long non-coding RNA (EGUI_LNC000419)". Lineage: Eukaryota; Viridiplantae; Streptophyta; Magnoliopsida; Arecales; Arecaceae. The record is from RNAcentral.